RNAcentral lists this ribosomal RNA (460 nucleotides) under uncultured bacterium. RNAcentral describes it as "partial 16S ribosomal RNA". It matches the Rfam family "Bacterial small subunit ribosomal RNA", at positions 338 to 795 of the family's 1533-position model. The record is from RNAcentral.
CCUACGGGGGGCAGCAGUGAGGAAUAUUGGUCAAUGGACGAGAGUCUGAACCAGCCAAGUAGCGUGAAGGAUGACUGCCCUAUGGGUUGUAAACUUCUUUUAUAUGGGAAUAAAACGUUCCACGUGUGGGAUUUUGUAUGUACCCUAUGAAUAAGGAUCGGCUAACUCCGUGCCAGCAGCCGCGGUAAUACGGAGGCUCCGAGCGUUAUCCGGAUUUAUUGGGUUUAAAGGGAGCGUAGGUGGAUUGUUAAGUCAGUUGUGAAAGUUUGCGGCUCAACCGUAAAAUUGCAGUUGAAACUGGCAGUCUUGAGUACAGUAGAGGUGGGCGGAAUUCGUGGUGUAGCGGUGAAAUGCUUAGAUAUCACGAAGAACUCCGAUUGCGAAGGCAGUUCACUGGACUGCAACUGACACUGAGGCUCGAAAGUGUGGGUAUCAAACAGGAUUAGAUACCCGAGUAGUC